AACGAACGCUGGCGGCAUGCCUAACACAUGCAAGUCGAACGAGACCUUCGGGUCUAGUGGCGCACGGGUGCGUAACGCGUGGGAACCUGCCCUUAGGUUCGGAAUAACUCCCCGAAAGGGGUGCUAAUACCGGAUAAUGUCUUCGGACCAAAGAUUUAUCGCCUUUGGAUGGGCCCGCGUUGGAUUAGCUAGUUGGUAGGGUAAAAGCCUACCAAGGCGAGGAUCGAUAGCUGGUCUGUGAGGAUGAUCAGCCACACUGGGACUGAGACACGGCCCAGACUCCUACGGGAGGCAGCAGUGGGGAAUAUUGGACAAUGGGCGAAAGCCUGAUCCAGCAAUGCCGCGUGAGUGAUGAAGGCCUUAGGGUUGUAAAGCUCUUUUACCCGGGAUGAUAAUGACGGUACCGGGAGAAUAAGCCCCGGCUAACUCCGUG
RNAcentral lists this ribosomal RNA (433 nucleotides) under uncultured bacterium. Its description in RNAcentral is "partial 16S ribosomal RNA". It matches the Rfam family "Bacterial small subunit ribosomal RNA", at positions 29 to 507 of the family's 1533-position model. The record is from RNAcentral.